UGUGCAAAUCCACGCAAAACUG
RNAcentral lists this non-coding RNA (22 nucleotides) under Callorhinchus milii (elephant shark). Lineage: Eukaryota; Metazoa; Chordata; Chondrichthyes; Chimaeriformes; Callorhinchidae. RNAcentral also lists the same sequence under 1 other name. The record is from RNAcentral.